UGGGGAAUCUUGCGCAAUGCGCGAAAGCGUGACGCAGCAACGCCGCGUGGAGGAAGACGGCCUUCGGGUUGUAAACUCCUUUCAGUUGGGACGAAGCUUCACCGGUUAAUAGCCGGUUGGAGUGACGGUACCUUUAGAAGAAGCCCCGGCUAACUACGUGCCAGCAGCCGCGGUAAUACGUAGGGGGCAAGCGUUGUCCGGAAUCAUUGGGCGUAAAGCGCGUGUAGGCGGCUCUGUAAGUCCGUUCUGAAAGUCCGGGGCUCAACCCCGGGAGGCGGAUGGAUACUGCAGGGCUCGAGUACGGAAGAGGCGAGUGGAAUUCCCGGUGUAGCGGUGAAAUGCGCAGAUAUCGGGAGGAACACCAAUGGCGAAGGCAGCUCGCUGGGACGUUACUGACGCUGAGACGCGAAAGCGUGGGGAGCAAACAG
This 428-nucleotide ribosomal RNA is filed under the name uncultured bacterium. RNAcentral describes it as "bacterial SSU rRNA". It matches the Rfam family "Bacterial small subunit ribosomal RNA", at positions 355 to 775 of the family's 1533-position model. The record is from RNAcentral.